Molecule: ribosomal RNA, 401 nt
Filed under: Hydra circumcincta
Lineage: Eukaryota; Metazoa; Cnidaria; Hydrozoa; Anthoathecata; Hydridae
Description: partial 16S ribosomal RNA
Rfam family: Bacterial large subunit ribosomal RNA
Source: RNAcentral
GGAUGCAGUAACUCUGACUGUAAUAAAGUAGCAUAAUUAAUUGUCAUUUAAUUGAUGGAGAGAAUGAAUGGUUACACGAAUAUUUCACUGUCUUAAAAAAAAUUUUUUAAAAUUGAAAUAAUAGUUAAGAUGCUAUUUAAAAUUGUAAGACGAAGAGACCCUAUAGAGCUUUACUAUAAAUUUUCUUUCUUUUAAAAUAUAAAAACUAUUUAAUUUAGAAAAUUUGGUAGUUUAGUUGGGGCGACUGUUUUUUAAAAAUAACAAAAAUAAGCAAUAUAAUAAUAUUAUUUAUUGUAUAAUCAAACAAUUUAACAAUUACUAUAGUAGGCUAUAAUGACCCGUUAUUAUAUUAAAAAAUAAAUAACGAAUAAUUAAUAAAAGCUACCUUAGGGAUAACAGGA